UUCGGAGUGACUUGCCUGCCCGUGAAGGUGUUUGGCCUGUGCGCUCGUCUCCUCUGUGGCUUUCUUGAGAGAGAAUUUGGUUUGUUUCUUCUAAACUACGAUGACUACACCCUUUACGCUGCUACCAAUAAUCUUGGUUGCUGUUUCCUCUUCGACUUUGGACUCCAAGCGUGAUGGCAGACAUUUGGCCAACCUACGUACCUCAUACACGACGAACCAGAGUGAAGAUUACCACUUCUGUAAAGUCGAAGACACAGUAGGAGCGUGUAUGAGGAACUCAAAGUGCCAUGGACAACAGGGCCUCUUCGCUGGGCACUGUGGCAAGACCAAGGACGUUUGUUGCAUAGUAAUGAAGACCUGCGGAGAACAGACGGACUCUCACCACAGUUAUUUCAGGAAUCCGUCCUUCCCUAAGAAUGAUACAGAAGCACGGGUUUGUUCCCUUACUGUGAACGUUAGCAAAGGCAUCUGCGGGGUCAGACUGACCUUGGAGAAGUUCGAACUAGCGAGGUUCUACGGAGGUUCCUGUCUGCACGACGGCCUGACGGUUCUCGGGGCAAAGGGCCCUCCCGUCAGCGCCUUCUGCGGAAACAUGACCAACUGGCGCACGUCGUUCGAAGUGGAAGAAAAGACCCAGUUGGUGUUGGCAGCUUUAGUGCAAGGAGACCCGGCGUAUACUUUCAACAUCCGGGUUACUCAGCUGCCGUGUGAGGACAUUCAGACGUUCCAAUCCCCGACCUACGCCGGCGUGUGGAACCCCGACGCCCCGACAUACGUGCGCCCGACCACGGAGCCCGACCCCGAAACCACGACGCUCCCGACCGCCGACGAAACCACCGUCCUAGGGGAAUCCGACGGGGCGGGAUCGAGCGAGGAUCCCGACGGGGCGGGAUCGAGCGAGGAUCCCGACGGGGAGACGCAGCUGGAGGAGGCGGUGGUGGAAGGAGGAGACGAAGAAGGAAGAAGAGGAGGAGAGAGGAGAUGCAGGAGGAGAUGAGGAUGCUGAGGGCGGCCCGACGACCCUCCCGAGGGGGUUGAUUCCUACGCCUUCACAGGCUGAGGUCUCAAUCAAAUCCAACGUAGAUGAGGACGAGGGGAUCUACCUGGAGGUUACCAAUCCCAUCCCACUCGUCUCUGCGGUGAGGGAAGAAUUCGACACCCUGGACCCCAGCUACUGCCAGAGAGGAAGCUUUAGAAUUGUAGGAGGAAGC
Molecule: unclassified non-coding RNA, 1211 nt
Filed under: Penaeus monodon (black tiger shrimp)
Lineage: Eukaryota; Metazoa; Arthropoda; Malacostraca; Decapoda; Penaeidae
Description: chymotrypsin-1-like, transcript variant X2
Source: RNAcentral